AACGCACGAGACCUGCGGACCUGCGGAAGGAUCAUUAGUGAAUUUGGGAUGACCUCUGCAAAGGGGAACACUCCUUUAAUACACUUUCACAAACCCUUUGUGCACUGUUUUGUCUUUUUGCCGCAAGGCAAUAGGACUUUUUACAAACACUUUGGUGUUCAUUUAAUAAAAGUUGUUGAUGUAACAAUGUGAUAAACGAAAGUAAAACUUUUAGCAACGGAUCUCUAGAUCGGAAGAGCA
Molecule: unclassified non-coding RNA, 240 nt
Filed under: soil metagenome
Description: partial contains 5.8S ribosomal RNA, internal transcribed spacer 2, and large subunit ribosomal RNA
Source: RNAcentral